GAUGAACGCUGGCGGCGUGCUUAACACAUGCAAGUCGAACGAUGAAGCCCAGCUUGCUGGGUGGAUUAGUGGCGAACGGGUGAGUAACACGUGAGUAACCUGCCCUUGACUCUGGGAUAAGCCUGGGAAACUGGGUCUAAUACUGGAUAUGACUUCUCAUCGCAUGGUGGGGGGUGGAAGGAUUUAUUGGUCUUGGAUGGACUCGCGGCCUAUCAGCUUGUUGGUGAGGUAAUGGCUCACCAAGGCGACGACGGGUAGCCGGCCUGAGAGGGUGACCGGCCACACUGGGACUGAGACACGGCCCAGACUCCUACGGGAGGCAGCAGUGGGGAAUAUUGCACAAUGGGCGCAAGCCUGAUGCAGCGACGCCGCGUGAGGGAUGACGGCCUUCGGGUUGUAAACCUCUUUCAGUAGGGAAGAAGCGAGAGUGACGGUACCUGCAGAAGAAGCGCCGGCUAACUACGUG
RNAcentral lists this ribosomal RNA (466 nucleotides) under uncultured bacterium. RNAcentral's name for it is "partial 16S ribosomal RNA". It matches the Rfam family "Bacterial small subunit ribosomal RNA", at positions 28 to 507 of the family's 1533-position model. The record is from RNAcentral.